Molecule: long non-coding RNA, 192 nt
Organism: Apis florea (little honeybee)
Lineage: Eukaryota; Metazoa; Arthropoda; Insecta; Hymenoptera; Apidae
Source: RefSeq, a predicted model, not a curated record
CAGCGGAAUCCAGCCCCCUUGAACGUUGCUGAACGCGAUUACAAAUAGCAAACGUUUGAAUAGAGCGGCGUACACACACACGUACACACGAUAUAAGGAGGGGAAGAUGAAAUACGUGCACGCGUACGUGGCCUCUAUCUCGCCGAAGACAGAAAGAAAGAAAUAAGUAGAGAGAGAGAGAGAGAGAGGGGU